UAAUUCUCUCCAUAUUUAAUGACAUUAUUAUGGACAGUUUUGUCAUUUUAUUCCUUUUCUUAAUAUGCGUGAAAAGUCCACCAGGACUUUUAUCCUGGGACGGAGGGAGUAUUAUUUAUAAUUUGUAUACUCACUUUGUGUUGAAAAAGUUAAGUAUCUUUUAAGAAAAAGGGGCAAUUAUUAUUAUUAAUAAUAAUAUUAAUAUUAAUAUUUAUAUAAAAAGGGACAAAACAUUAAUAUUACUAAUGAUGUGAUUAUGAAUAUUAGAAGUACAGAUUAUACCAAUAAUACUACUGCAUAACAUUAAAAUGAAUAGUACAAAUAUGUUCAUUUUCAUUUGUAAAAAAAACAUAACAUAAAUAAUACAACGGACGCCUAUUUUAGUGAUUUCGCUUAUCGUGGUCGGUUUCAAAGUCGCAAAUUGCACAUUUUUGAUGAGGCUUAGAAGUAAUGAUU
This 456-nucleotide long non-coding RNA is filed under the name Panax ginseng (ginseng). Its description in RNAcentral is "long non-coding RNA (PGIN_LNC016574)". The record is from RNAcentral. Lineage: Eukaryota; Viridiplantae; Streptophyta; Magnoliopsida; Apiales; Araliaceae.